This 507-nucleotide ribosomal RNA is filed under the name uncultured bacterium. RNAcentral's name for it is "partial 16S ribosomal RNA". It matches the Rfam family "Bacterial small subunit ribosomal RNA", at positions 29 to 507 of the family's 1533-position model. The record is from RNAcentral.
ACGCACGCUGGCGGCGUGCCUAAUACCUGCCAGUCGAACGCUUCUUUCCUCCCGAGUGCUUGCACUCAAUUGGAAAGAGGAGUGGCGGACGGGUGAGUAACACGUGGGUAACCUACCCAUCAGAGGGGGAUAACACUUGGAAACAGGUGCUAAUACCGCAUAACAGUUUAUGCCGCAUGGCAUAAGAGUGAAAGGCGCUUUCGGGUGUCGCUGAUGGAUGGACCCGCGGUGCAUUAGCUAGUUGGUGAGGUAACGGCUCACCAAGGCCACGAUGCAUAGCCGACCUGAGAGGGUGAUCGGCCACACUGGGACUGAGACACGGCCCAGACUCCUACGGGAGGCAGCAGUAGGGAAUCUUCGGCAAUGGACGAAAGUCUGACCGAGCAACGCCGCGUGAGUGAAGAAGGUUUUCGGAUCGUAAAACUCUGUUGUUAGAGAAGAACAAGGACGUUAGUAACUGAACGUCCCCUGACGGUAUCUAACCAGAAAGCCACGGCUAACUACGUG